RNAcentral lists this ribosomal RNA (460 nucleotides) under uncultured bacterium. RNAcentral's name for it is "partial 16S ribosomal RNA". It matches the Rfam family "Bacterial small subunit ribosomal RNA", at positions 338 to 795 of the family's 1533-position model. The record is from RNAcentral.
CCUACGGGUGGCAGCAGUGAGGAAUAUUGGUCAAUGGGCGGAAGCCUGAACCAGCCAAGUCGCGUGAGGGAUUAAGGCCCUGCGGGUCGUAAACCUCUUUUGCCGGGGAGCAGUGGUCCGGACGCGUCCGGACCGGGAGAGUACCCGGAGAAAAAGCAUCGGCUAACUCCGUGCCAGCAGCCGCGGUAAUACGGAGGAUGCGAGCUUUAUCCGGAUUUAUUGGGUUUAAAGGGUGCGUAGGCGGUCCGUUAAGUCCGCGGUAAAAUUGCGGGGCUCAACCCCGUCGAGCCGUUGAAACUGGCAGACUUGAGUUGGCGAGAAGUACGCGGAAUGCGCGGUGUAGCGGUGAAAUGCAUAGAGAUCGCGCAGAACUCCGAUUGCGAAGGCAGCGUACCGGCGCCAGACUGACGCUGAGGCACGAAAGCGUGGGGAUCGAACAGGAUUAGAUACCCUAGUAGUC